Molecule: ribosomal RNA, 496 nt
Filed under: uncultured bacterium
Lineage: Bacteria
Description: partial 16S ribosomal RNA
Rfam family: Bacterial small subunit ribosomal RNA
Source: RNAcentral
GAUGAACGCUGGCGGCGUGCCUAAUACAUGCAAGUCGAGCGAACAGACGAGGAGCUUGCUCCUUUGACGUUAGCGGCGGACGGGUGAGUAACACGUAGGUAACCUACCUAUAAGACUGGGAUAACUUCGGGAAACCGGAGCUAAUACCGGAUAAUAUUUCGAACCGCAUGGUUCGAUAGUGAAAGAUGGCUUUGCUAUCACUUAUAGAUGGACCUGCGCCGUAUUAGCUAGUUGGUAAGGUAACGGCUUACCAAGGCAACGAUACGUAGCCGACCUGAGAGGUGGAUCGGCCACACUGGAACGGAGACACGGUCCAGACUCCUACGGGAGGCAGCAGUAGGGAAUCUUCCGCAAUGGGCGAAAGCCUGACGGAGCAACGCCGCGUGAGUGAUGAAGGUCUUCGGAUCGUAAAACUCUGUUAUUAGGGAAGAACAAACGUGUAAGUAACUGUGCACGUCUUGACGGUACCUAAGCAGAAAGCCACGGCUAACUACGU